GGAAUAAGCUGUUUCAGUGGAAUUAAAAAGAAAUUUCUUAAGAGGUGAAAAUUCCUUUAAAUUAUACAAUAGACGAGAAGACCCUAAGAAUUAUAUAUUAAUAUUAUAAAUUUAUAAAAUUUUUGUUGGGGCAACAGGUUUGGUUAAAUCAAUAACUUUUAAAUUUGCAUAUUGAGUAUAUUUAAUAAGAACUUAAUUACCUUAGGGAUAACAGCAUUAUUAAUUUAUUAGAUUGUGACCUCGAUGUUGGACUAGGGACUUUUAAGGUGAGCCAUUUUAAAAGAUUGUUCUGUUCGAACAUGGAAC
RNAcentral lists this ribosomal RNA (306 nucleotides) under Partula cf. affinis. Its description in RNAcentral is "partial 16S ribosomal RNA". The record is from RNAcentral. Lineage: Eukaryota; Metazoa; Mollusca; Gastropoda; Stylommatophora; Partulidae.